AACAGAUUUGCUUUCCCAUCACAAGUCCAACACAACAAUAUUGCUUUUCUAAUUAAUUAACAUUAAUUUUCCCUUAAUUGUAUGUGUUAGGCGCAAGCAAAAAAGUGAAUUGACCUAGCUAGGUUGAUAAACUUGGUCGAUGUCCACUAAAAUUGAGACAUGAUUUGUAUAGUCAAUUUUCUAGUCUAUUGCACAUUUGAUCGAUGUAGAAGAAAUUAACACGUCUG
Molecule: unclassified non-coding RNA, 227 nt
Filed under: Hevea brasiliensis (rubber tree)
Lineage: Eukaryota; Viridiplantae; Streptophyta; Magnoliopsida; Malpighiales; Euphorbiaceae
Source: RNAcentral